AUACAGAGGGUGCAAGCGUUAUUCGGAAUUACUGGGCGUAAAGCGCGCGUAGGCGGAUGAUUAAGUCAGUUGUGAAAGCCCUGGGCUCAACCUAGGAACUGCAUCUGAUACUGGUCGUCUAGAGUUUAAGAGAGGGAAGUGGAAUUCCAGGUGUAGCAGUGAAAUGCGUAGAUAUCUGGAGGAACAUCAGUGGCGAAGGCGACUUCCUGGCUUAAAACUGACGCUGAGGUGCGAAAGCGUGGAUAGCGAACGGGAUUAGAUACCCUAGUAGUCC
This 274-nucleotide ribosomal RNA is filed under the name uncultured bacterium. RNAcentral's name for it is "partial 16S ribosomal RNA". It matches the Rfam family "Bacterial small subunit ribosomal RNA", at positions 523 to 796 of the family's 1533-position model. The record is from RNAcentral.